Molecule: transfer RNA, 72 nt
Filed under: Capra hircus (goat)
Lineage: Eukaryota; Metazoa; Chordata; Mammalia; Artiodactyla; Bovidae
Also listed under: 1 other name
Rfam family: tRNA
About the family: Transfer RNA (tRNA) molecules are approximately 80 nucleotides in length.
Source: Rfam by way of RNAcentral
UCCCUGGUGUCUCAGAUGGUAAAGAAUCCACCUGCAAUGUGGGAGACCUGGGUUCAAUCCCUGGGCUGGGAA